ACGGGACCCGCACAAGCAGCGGAGCAUGUGGUUUAAUUCGAAGCAACGCGAAGAACCUUACCAGGUCUUGACAUCCUCUGACAAUCUGAGAGAUCAGACUUUCCCUUCGGGGACAGAGAGACAGGUGGUGCAUGGUUGUCGUCAGCUCGUGUCGUGAGAUGUUGGGUUAAGUCCCGCAACGAGCGCAACCCCUACGUUUAGUUGCUAACGCGUGAAGGCGAGCACUCUAGACGAACUGCCGUUGACAAAACGGAGGAAGGUGGGGAUGACGUCAAAUCAUCAUGCCCCUUAUGACCUGGGCUACACACGUGCUACAAUGGUUGGUACAACGAGUUGCGAGUCGGUGACGGCGAGCUAAUCUCUUAAAGCCAAUCUCAGUUCGGAUUGUAGGCUGCAACUCGCCUACAUGAAGUCGGAAUCGCUAGUAAUCGCGGAUCAGCACGCCGCGGUGAAUACGUUCCCGGGCCUU
This 469-nucleotide ribosomal RNA is filed under the name uncultured Streptococcus sp. RNAcentral describes it as "bacterial SSU rRNA". It matches the Rfam family "Bacterial small subunit ribosomal RNA", at positions 916 to 1381 of the family's 1533-position model. The record is from RNAcentral. Lineage: Bacteria; Bacillati; Bacillota; Bacilli; Lactobacillales; Streptococcaceae.